CCUGUCUCUUGUCACAUCCCUGCAGAUGGAGGCCAGAACUGUUGCCAUAGGCCUCGUUUGGUUUCAGUUUUCACAACUUUCUUUCCUUGCAACCAUUGAUUCCCAAACCUUUCCCAGUAGGGCAAGCAAUGUGAAACAAACCAAAAACACCUCUGAGACUGUAGCUCAAUCUUGUCCCAGGGCUGCUGGCACAGAGGUAGAUUUGGUCCCCAGAGUACAGGAACUCAGGAGGCACGACUGAAGGCAAGGAGGUCUGCCACACGUUAAAUAUAUUUGAUUUUCUGUAGGCUUUCCCAUGCAGCCUGCAUGCCCUCAAUUCUUUUGCAGAUCUUUGCAAAAGAUAAUUCAGUUCUAUUUACGUGUGGCUCCUUUGCAGUUCUUUUCAGUACUGCAUUAUGGAAUUACUCCUCCGAAUACUGCCAGGAAAGUUAAUAAUAUCCAAGAUCUCAGAUUAAAAAUUAAAUAUGGGUAUAACAUUAUUUUCCUCUGAUAACUUUUCACGUGUAGUACUUACUACUGCAGAGUUUUUCCAGAAAGAAAAAGAGGAAGAUCUGCACUUUGAAGCAGGGACGGCCUGCUGGCACUACCUAUCAAAUCCAAUGCUGGCGUCUCCCUUCUCCCUCUCCUUUUUGUUGUUUUGCCAUCUCUCAGGGGUUGGUAAAUAAUAGUGCGUUAGCCUAAGGAGUUCCUGCUUGCUGCUCACUGGGAUUAUUUAAAAUGGAUGCCUGUGUUUGAGCGUGUGUAUAUUGAAUAAAACUCAAAACCCUCUGUGCUGCUCUAAAUGCGUAGUUUGCUUGCCUCUGCUCCUGAGACAACCUGUCUCUAGGAUCCAAACGUACCCUGAAACACGUGGCCAGAUGGAAGUGAUGUGCUCACUCCUAGUGGAAUGUGGGAUACCAUGGCAGAUUUAUAAACGUACGUAAGGGAAUUGGGAAUGAAAGAGGCAAUUUAUGGGGAAGACUUUAUAAGGAAGCCCCGACCUAGAUAAAUUUAGACGUCAGAUGAGAGAUCUUACCCUGCAGCAAGCCCCCUCUCAUCAGUAUGGCACUCUAGUAGCUAUUUG
RNAcentral lists this long non-coding RNA (1063 nucleotides) under Gallus gallus (chicken). Its description in RNAcentral is "lncRNA (ENSGALG00010014925.1)". Lineage: Eukaryota; Metazoa; Chordata; Aves; Galliformes; Phasianidae. The record is from RNAcentral.